UUUCCGUAGGUGAACCUGCGGAAGGAUCAUUAAUGAGUUGUCAUGGAGUUCGAUGCUGGCAGCCAAUUUUUGGAUGCAUGUGCUUGCCCUAACAAUCAUCUUCCAAACACCUGUGCACAUUUUUGAGGGAGUCUUGAGUUGGUUGCCGCUCUUGGGUGAUUUUCUCACAUUCCCUUAAAUCAUUAUACGCUAUUAACAAUGUUGAACGUGCUCUGUGCCGCAAGGCUAUUAAUAUAAUACAACUUUUAACAACGGAUCUCUUGGCUCUC
RNAcentral lists this unclassified non-coding RNA (269 nucleotides) under plant metagenome. RNAcentral describes it as "partial contains small subunit ribosomal RNA, internal transcribed spacer 1, and 5.8S ribosomal RNA". The record is from RNAcentral.